GCGGAGGUGGCGGGGUCGGUCCCGCCAUCCCUGCGGGGCUCCCCCCGUCUCCCCGGGAGAAUCCCGGCAGCAGCUGCUCGCUCUUCCCGGCGGCCCUGCCAGGGGGGCGCGCCUCUGGUCCCCUCCCCAUCCCGCCCGUGAUCCUGAGGCGCUGUCCCGGGGCUCCCUGCGAGCCCCUGCGGACACGGAAGGGCGGCAGGAGGGGCGAGUGCUAUCCAAAAUAAUACCAACUUUUAUGUUAAGAAGUUACUGAAGUGGAGGAAGAACAAAUUCUUUCACUUUAUUUCCAUACUUGGCAAAAUGAAGGUGAGAAAAGAAGCAAUGAAGGUAAAUAUUUUGAUAUUUAAGUGGUUAGACAAUAGAAUUUUUAUGUCUGUAAUCUUUUUUUCACAACAUGAGCAACAAAUCAAUGUUUUUACUGUCACCUGUUUUACUUGCAAAUGCAGCACAAAUCUCUCUGGAUUGUGUGCCCCUGUGCAUUCCUUCUGGCAGGCACUGGCUUGCAUUUUAGUAUAAGUUAGACUGGCUUCAUGUGGAAGAAAAUGGAAAUUCCUUAUAAAGUCAACUUUUCUUUAAAUAAAGUAUGCUGUGGAUGAUUCACUACCGAAUGUGAGGCUUAGACAGCAAAAAUUUUAUUGUGCAAAGGCAAAGCAAUGUGGGAUUCUUUCCUCUAAAUCUUACUGCUAAACAAAAUGCUUAAAAGUUGACCGUGGGCAUAGCUGGUAUUUACAUGAUGGAAUGCUUUGGUUUUAAUUUGCUUUUUGGACAGGUAGAGGCCACCACAGACAGGCCUGGACAUUCGGCCCUUCUGAGCAGUUUGUGACUGGGGAGGCAGAUAACUAAACUGUAAAUGCCAAGAGAACAAUUUCAACGCUCACAGAUGAACACCUCUUCCUUUUUGACCUCCUGACAUCCUUAGUUUAGGUGGGUUUAAACAAAUGGAGAAACAUACUGUAUGCAAUGCAUGGUUUUAUAUACAUGCUAAUAGAAAGUAUACAUUGAAGUACUAUUUAAUAGAAAGACAAGCAGCAUCUGAAAAGCACAUAAGCCUAAUUGAUUCCAGACACAACUGGCCUGGAUUUUGUUUCCUCUUAUUUCAACUUUCUGACCUUGUAAAAAUUAUCUUGAUUGUGUUAUACUAAAACAAGGCCGUGAUCUUGCAAAAACUACCAUGUGUGCUGGAGCUGAGAAGUGCCCAGCAGAGCACUGCAUACAGAACGAAUGCUGACAGCGUUAGGCCCCAGCGCUGCCCGGUUUGUUUUCCCCUCCUUGUACCUAAUCAUGGUGAAACAAUAGUCUCACUUCUGCUGAAAGCUGGAUCUAGGCUUUCAUUUUUAAAGAGGGAAAAAAAUGUGUAGUGAAACUUUACAAUUUGUGGUGUAUUAUAGUUUUAAAAUUCUCAGAGCAGUUUAAACUACUGGGAUUUUAUGGCGUUUAGACCAGGGGAAAGAACAGGGAGGGUUUAAAAACACAUAUUGCCUGUAAUUUUUUUCAGUUGUGUGUGCGUAUGUGUGGUGAUAUCUCUGUUUUUCAGAAGAUAGUUUCUAGGGAUUGGUAGGAGGGUUGAAGGACUUACUGGCUUUGAUGAUAACCCUUCCAAUACCGUUGUGCCUCUGUAUAAACAUGCACGAAAGACCCAGGACAGCAGAGUGCUCCAUGUGCUGCUGUCUUUGGCACUGGAGAACUUCUAAUAAUAUUUUCUGCUUGAAAAAAUCCAAGGCCUGGGUACACUGAUCCUUUUAUUACAAUAACUGCUGUUGUUCCUUCUAUCUGGGAAUCUGUGUCUUGCUAGCUUUAAAUCUCUGUGGAGGGGAGUGACAAAAAGAGGUCUUUCCAGCGUAUUGAACUGAUGAUCCCUCUCCUUAUUUCUCUGAAGGCUCUCCUUUUGUUUUUUUUCUGGAUCAAGAAUAAACUGUGUAUUUGGGCCUUUGUCAGCAAAGUUCCCGUGGGGCAUCCUUGUAAGCACUGGGAUUGCCUGUUUAGUAGAGGGAGGCUUAUAAAAAGCAACUCCAGGUGGAAGUGGGCCUUUUCCUGCUCCUCCCUUCAUCCUGCUGCAAUUCCCUUUCAUCCAAGCCCUGAGAACUGCCUGCCAUUUAGACUAGGGUACAAAACUAUGAGAGUUGUACUCCCUUGACCUAGAAAUUAGAGUGUCUGUCGUCACUUAUAUUGAUUUGUUAAUGUUCUGGGGAGUUUUGUUGUAUAUAAUGUACUGUGUCAACUUCUGGUGGUUGUACAACAGCAAAUAUAACUCAAAAAGCUAAGCCUACCUCUGAAGAAAGCGAGCAGCUUUUAUGCAUCAUGAAACUUGGUUUCUAAGAAGUUGGCAUCAAUAUGACUGCCAUCACAUUUGGGAUUUCUUAGCUACCAUGUCAAUGUUUCUUAUUUCCCAACAGAUUGCAAGGUGGACAUGCUGUGUGGUAUGUUACUUGUUAAAUAAAAAAGCCUGAGAGCA
This is a non-coding RNA of Cyanistes caeruleus (blue tit), 2452 nucleotides long. The record is from RefSeq and is a predicted model, not a curated record. Lineage: Eukaryota; Metazoa; Chordata; Aves; Passeriformes; Paridae.